CGGGAAGUAGCUCAGCUUGGUAGAGCACUUGGUUUGGGACCAAGGGGUCGCAGGUUCGAAUCCAGUCUUCCCGA
RNAcentral lists this transfer RNA (74 nucleotides) under Staphylococcus aureus. RNAcentral describes it as "tRNA-Pro". It matches the Rfam family "tRNA". From Rfam's summary of the family: Transfer RNA (tRNA) molecules are approximately 80 nucleotides in length. Their secondary structure includes four short double-helical elements and three loops (D, anti-codon, and T loops). Further hydrogen bonds mediate the characteristic L-shaped molecular structure. tRNAs have two regions of fundamental functional importance: the anti-codon, which is responsible for specific mRNA codon recognition, and the 3' end, to which the tRNAs corresponding amino acid is attached (by aminoacyl-tRNA synthetases). tRNAs cope with the degeneracy of the genetic code in two manners: having more than one tRNA (with a specific anti-codon) for a particular amino acid; and 'wobble' base-pairing, i.e. permitting non-standard base-pairing at the 3rd anti-codon position. Lineage: Bacteria; Bacillati; Bacillota; Bacilli; Caryophanales; Staphylococcaceae. The record is from RNAcentral.